UACGUAGGGUGCGAGCGUUGUCCGGAAUUACUGGGCGUAAAGAGCUCGUAGGCGGUCUGUCGCGUCGGCUGUGAAAUCCCGAGGCUCAACCUCGGGUCUGCAGUCGAUACGGGCAGGCUAGAGUUCGGUAGGGGAGACUGGAAUUCCUGGUGUAGCGGUGAAAUGCGCAGAUAUCAGGAGGAACACCGGUGGCGAAGGCGGGUCUCUGGGCAGUAACUGACGCUGAGGAGCGAAAGCGUGGGGAGCAACAGG
RNAcentral lists this ribosomal RNA (252 nucleotides) under uncultured bacterium. Its description in RNAcentral is "partial 16S ribosomal RNA". It matches the Rfam family "Bacterial small subunit ribosomal RNA", at positions 524 to 775 of the family's 1533-position model. The record is from RNAcentral.